This 323-nucleotide unclassified non-coding RNA is filed under the name uncultured fungus. Its description in RNAcentral is "partial contains small subunit ribosomal RNA, internal transcribed spacer 1, and 5.8S ribosomal RNA". The stretch from base 1 to 73 matches the Rfam family "Eukaryotic small subunit ribosomal RNA", at positions 1759 to 1831 of the family's 1831-position model. The record is from RNAcentral. Lineage: Eukaryota; Fungi.
GCAAACUUGGUCAUUUAGAGGAAGUAAAAGUCGUAACAAGGUUUCCGUAGGUGAACCUGCGGAAGGAUCAUUAACGAGUUUUGAAAGGGGUUGUUGCUGGCCUUUCACGAGGCAUGUGCACACCCUGCUCUUCCACUCUCAACCUCUGUGCACUAUUGUAGGCUUGGUGAAAGGCGUUGACUCGCAAGGGUCAGCUGCUGGAAGCCUCGUCUAUGUUUCACUACAAACGCUUCAGUUAUAGAAUGUAACACUUGCGGAUAACGCAUUUAUAUACAACUUUCAGCAACGGAUCUCUUGGCUCUCGCAUCGAUGAAGAACGCAGC